CCUACGGGGGGCAGCAGUGAGGAAUAUUGGUCAAUGGGCGGGAGCCUGAACCAGCCAAGCCGCGUGAGGGAAGAAGGUACAGCGUAUCGUAAACCUCUUUUGUCAGGGAACAAAGGCGGGGACUAGUCCCCGGAUGAGGGUACCUGAAGAAAAAGCAUCGGCUAACUCCGUGCCAGCAGCCGCGGUAAUACGGAGGAUGCGAGCGUUAUCCGGAUUUAUGGGGUUUAAAGGGUGCGCAGGCGGCCUGUUAAGUCAGCGGUAAAAGCCCGGGGCUCAACCCCGGCGAGCCGUUGAAACUGGCGGGCUGGAGUUGGUGAGGAGUACGCGGAAUGCGCGGUGUAGCGGUGAAAUGCUUAGAUAUCGCGCAGAACCCCGAUUGCGAAGGCAGCGUACCGGCUCCACACUGACGCUGAGGCACGAAAGCGUGGGUAUCGAACAGGAUUAGAUACCCCUGUAGUC
This 459-nucleotide ribosomal RNA is filed under the name uncultured bacterium. RNAcentral describes it as "partial 16S ribosomal RNA". It matches the Rfam family "Bacterial small subunit ribosomal RNA", at positions 338 to 795 of the family's 1533-position model. The record is from RNAcentral.